AACACGAGAUGAAUUGGGAGGAAGCUCAGAUGUAGGUUUGAACUGGGGCCUUGAGCAUUCCCCUAUGCCUCACUGCCUCAAGCUCGUGAGAAACUUUGGCAUAAAUCCAGAUAGGAGGUCAUUGGUUGGUUCCUUUGAAGAGUCCCUCUUAUCCGGCCGGCUCUUGUCUGGCAAAUUCAGUCAGAGAAUUGAUGGUUUUCUUGCUGUGCUAAAUGUCACCGG
RNAcentral lists this unclassified non-coding RNA (222 nucleotides) under Hevea brasiliensis (rubber tree). Lineage: Eukaryota; Viridiplantae; Streptophyta; Magnoliopsida; Malpighiales; Euphorbiaceae. The record is from RNAcentral.